Leptinotarsa decemlineata (Colorado potato beetle) is the source of this 513-nucleotide long non-coding RNA. NCBI's taxonomy places the organism in Eukaryota, Metazoa, Arthropoda, Insecta, Coleoptera, Chrysomelidae. The record is from RefSeq and is a predicted model, not a curated record.
AAUGUCGGAAGGUGCUAGUGACAGAAUGUCAUUGCCUCCGGAUGACUGCAGCCUGAAGGACGUAGAAACUGUUAAGAAUAAUAGGCCACCUCCUCAACUAGAUAUACUGCCGCCCCCACCAAAUAAUAACCCCAAAAAGGCUCCACUGUCGUUAGCGGAAACGUAUUCCUCACCUCAUAGUGACACACUUAAACUGUCAGUGCUGGAAGUGCUACCAGCAGCCUACCACCCGCUGGUACUGCCCUGUCAGCUCACCAUGAGCUACAGCUCAUGAGGGAACAGUUGGAGCAACAAAAUCAACAAACUCAGGCUGCUCUAGCUCAAUUACAAUUGACGAAAGAACAAUUGGUUGCGGAACAGAGUGCAAGACUGGAAGCUCAAGCGAGAACUCAUCAGCUAUUGAUUCAUAAUCGUGAGUUACUGGACCAUAUAGCAGCAUUGGUGGCUCAUCUACAGGGUGAAAAACCAGGCCAACAACAAACACCUCCCCACAUGACGAUGCCGCAGGUAUCU